UGGGGAAUUUUCCGCAAUGGGCGAAAGCCUGACGGAGCAAUGCUGCGUGGAGGUGGAAGGCCUACGGGUCGUCAACUUCUUUUCUCGGAGAAGAAACAAUGACGGUAUCUGAGGAAUAAGCAUCGGCUAACUCUGCGCCAG
Molecule: ribosomal RNA, 141 nt
Filed under: uncultured bacterium
Lineage: Bacteria
Description: partial 16S rRNA
Rfam family: Bacterial small subunit ribosomal RNA
Source: RNAcentral